This 2919-nucleotide ribosomal RNA is filed under the name human oral metagenome. RNAcentral describes it as "bacterial LSU rRNA". It matches the Rfam family "Bacterial large subunit ribosomal RNA". The record is from RNAcentral.
AGAGCGUAGGGGGAAUGCCUUGGCACCAAGAGCCGAAGAAGGACGUGAUAAGCUGCGAAAAGCUACGGGGAGGAGCACAUAUCCAGAGAGCCGUAGAUAUCCGAAUGAGGGAACUCAAUCUAGGUAAAUGCUAGAUUAUCAUCACAUGAGUAAAGUAGUGUGAAUGAGGGGAACGUGGGGAACUGAAACAUCUUAGUACCCAUAGGAAGAGAAAAUAAAAAUGAUUCCGUAAGUAGUGGCGAGCGAAAGCGGAGGAGCCCAAACCUGAGUGAGCAAUCACUAUCAGGGGUUAGGACAUGCAACAAAUUCCAAGAAAGAGUGUAGUAGAAGUGUUUUGGGAAAGCACACCAAAGAGAGUGAAAGUCUCGUAUAUGAAACACGAAAGAAGGAAGAGUAUGAUCCAGAGUAAGACAGGACACGAGAAAUCCUGUGUGAAUGAGCGGGGACCAUCCCGUAAGGCUAAAUACUACUUGGUGACCGAUAGUGAAAUAGUACCGUGAGGGAAAGGUGAAAAGAACCCCGGGAGGGGAAUGAAAUAGAAUCUGAAACCCUAUGCUUACAAGCAGAUAGAGCACGUUAAAGUGUGAUAUCGUACUUUUUGCAGAACGGUCCGGCGAGUUACUGUAUAUGGCAAGGAGAAGAGUUUAAGACUAAUAUCCGAAGCGAAAGCGAGUCUGAAUAGGGCGAAAUAAGUCAUGUGCAGUAGACCCGAAACCGAGUGACCUAUCCAUGUCCAGGAUGAAGCUAGAGUGAAAUCUAGUGGAGGUCCGCACCAGUAGACGUUGAAAAGUCUUUGGAUGAGGUGUGGAUAGCGGAGAAAUUCUAAUCGAACUCGGAUAUAGCUGGUUCUCCUCGAAAUAGCUUUAGGGCUAGCCUUGAACAAAAACCAUAUGGGGGUAGAGCACUGAAUGAGCUAGGGGCCAAACAAAGGUUACCAAACUUUAUCAAACUACGAAUACCAUGUGGGAGGUUCAGGAGUCAGACUACGGGAGCUAAGUUCCGUGGUCAAAAGGGAAAGAGCCCAGACCGUCAAUUAAGGUCCCAAAGAUAUAACUAAGUGGAAAACGAUGUGAUUUUGCGCAGACAACCAGGAUGUUGGCUUAGAAGCAGCCAUUCAUUUAAAGAGUGCGUAAUAGCUCACUGGUCGAGUGGACAUGCGCCGACAAUAUACGGGGCUAAGCAUUGUACCGAAGCGGCGGAUCAGUACUUUGUACUGGUGGUAGGAGAGCUUUCUGUACGGGUUGAAGCAGUUGGAUAACCAACUGUGGACUGUCCAGAAGUGAGAAUGCUGGCAUGAGUAACGAGAGACAUGUAAAAAACAUGUCCGCCGUAAACCCAAGGUUUCCUGGGCAAGGCUAAUCCUCCCAGGGUUAGGCGGGAGCUAAGGCAAGGCCGGAAGGCGUAGUCGAUGCACAACAGGUAGAAAUUCCUGUCCCUCCAAAAGAGCGUUAUCACCAAUGGGGUGACGGAGAAGGGUAGCUAGGCGGGGUUCUGGACGUCCCCGUGAUGGCACGUAGGCUGAGAAGUAGUGAAAUGCGCUUCUCAUAUGGCUGAGGUGUUGGACGAAGCAAUUGAGUGAAGCUAGUGAGCCCAUACUUCCAAGAAAAACCUCUAGGGAGCUCUGAGGAGCCCGUACCGCAAACCGACACAGGUGGGUGGGUAGAGCAUACCAAGGCGAUCGGGAGAACUAUGGUUAAGGAACUCGGCAAAAUUGCCCCGUAACUUCGGGAGAAGGGGUGCCGGUUUCGGUGAAGGGAUUUACUCCCCGAGCUAAGAUCGGUCACAGUAAAUAGGUCCAAGCGACUGUUUAUCAAAAACACAGGACUCUGCUGAAGUCGUAAGACGACGCAUAGGGUCUGACGCCUGCCCGGUGCCGGAAGGUCACGAGGAGCCGUCAGCGAGAGCGAAGCGGCGAAUCCAAGCCCCGGUAAACGGCGGCCGUAACUAUAACGGUCCUAAGGUAGCGAAAUUCCUUGUCGGGUAAGUUCCGACCUGCACGAAAGGCGUAACGAUUUGGACGCUGUCUCAACCAUAGACCCGGUGAAAUUGCACUAGUCGUGAAGAUGCGACUUACCCGCGGAAGGACGGAAAGACCCCGUGAACCUUUACUGCAGCUUGACAUUGGCUGCCGGUUCGUCGUGUAGAGGAUAGGUGGGAGACGCCGAACCAGGGACGCCAGUCCCUGGGGAGUCACCCUUGGAAUACCACCCUCGACGUUCUGGCAUCCUAACCCCGCGCCGUGAUCCGGGCGGGGGACCGUGUCAGGUGGGUAGUUUGACUGGGGCGGUCGCCUCCUAAAGAGUAACGGAGGCGCACAAAGGUCUGCUCAGCCUGGUCGGCAACCAGGCCGCUGAGUGCAAGAGCGCAAGCAGGCUCGACUGCGAGGCCCACGAGCCGAGCAGGGACGAAAGUCGGUUCUAGUGAUCCGGCGGCCCAGAGUGGAAUGGCCGUCGCUCAACGGAUAAAAGGUACUCCGGGGAUAACAGGCUGAUCUUCCCCAAGAGUCCACAUCGACGGGAAGGUUUGGCACCUCGAUGUCGGCUCAUCGCAUCCUGGGGCUGGAGCAGGUCCCAAGGGUUGGGCUGUUCGCCCAUUAAAGCGGUACGCGAGCUGGGUUCAGAACGUCGUGAGACAGUUCGGUCCCUAUCCUCCGCGGGCGUAGGAGAACUGAGGGAGGCUGCCCCUAGUACGAGAGGACCGGGGUGGACGGACCUCCGGUGCGCGGGUUGUCGACCAACGGCACCGCCCGGUAGCUGAGUCCGGUUGGGAUAACCGCUGAAAGCAUCUAAGCGGGAAGCCCGUCCCGAGAUGAGUUCUCCCUUCGGUAAGGCCCCUCGUAGACCACGAGGUGAUAGGCCGCAGGUGCAAGCGCCGCGAGGCGCUCAGCCGAGCGGCACUAAUCGGCCGAGCUCUUCUCUU